This 88-nucleotide transfer RNA is filed under the name Acidobacteriota bacterium. Its description in RNAcentral is "tRNA-Leu". It matches the Rfam family "tRNA". From Rfam's summary of the family: Transfer RNA (tRNA) molecules are approximately 80 nucleotides in length. Their secondary structure includes four short double-helical elements and three loops (D, anti-codon, and T loops). The record is from RNAcentral. Lineage: Bacteria; Pseudomonadati; Acidobacteriota. RNAcentral also lists the same sequence under 2 other names.
GCCGAGGUGGCGGAAAUGGCAGACGCGCUAGGUUGAGGGCCUAGUGAGGGCUUACCUCGUGGGGGUUCAAGUCCCCCCCUCGGCACCA